GGUGUUUCUCGAAUCCUUGCCUCAGAACACAACCGUAUGAAGCCGCAUCUGCAAGGCAAAUGAAUCCUGAAACGGAGGUUAGCCUCCUCCACCCUCCCGUCCCCCGUUUUGUUGUGAAAGAGAAU
Molecule: long non-coding RNA, 125 nt
Organism: Austrofundulus limnaeus
Lineage: Eukaryota; Metazoa; Chordata; Actinopteri; Cyprinodontiformes; Rivulidae
Exons: 2
Source: RefSeq, a predicted model, not a curated record